CCAGCCAGGGUACCUCAAACUCUCCCUACACUUGGUGUCUCUCCUGCCUCUCUUUUCUCUCUCUCUCUCUCUUUUUUUUUCUGGUUUCUAUUGGGCCCAUCUGGAUAAUCCAGGAUUAUCUUUCUAUUUUAAGAUCAGCAGAUUAGUGGCUUAAUUACACCCACAAAGCCCCUCGAAGCAACAGUGCCUAGAUUUGUGUUAGAAUCACCAGGGCGGCCUGGGAGGCUUCUUUAGAUGUCCUGCAUGGAGGCAUCGGCAGCAUCUGGUGCCCCCAGCUUCUUGCUGCAGUCUUAAAGGCAGCUGAUUCCACCUUUAAAACGUAUCCAGAGUCCAGCCACAGCAGACGACCUCCCUGGCCACCUCAUGGCCUUCCCGCCUCGUGCUUCUUCUGGGUUGCCCUUCAUCAGGUGCCCAACUCAUUAAAAAUAAAAGCCACGAUCUGGCCCUGUGUUCUCUCCCCGACCUCACCUGCCCUCCCAGGCUCCCUUCACCCCAGGCACACCCGGCCUUCUUUUUGUUCCUUGAGCAGGCAGGGCCUGUCCCAACCCCAGGGCCUUUGCACAGGCUCUUCUCUCUUACUCCAGUUAUCUGGUGUGGAAUGAGAUAGAAUGGUGUUACUCUGGUUCAGACCUCUAAAAUGUGGUUGAGAAGCCAUCCUUCGAAGGACUACCUGCACGGCCGCAACCCUGCCAACAAGAGCUUGCUUGAACCUUCGCAUUGGGUCCCACGGACACAACCGUAACAUCCUGGAGAAUUUGCCGGCGCUGUGACUCCUGAACAGCGACAACCAAUGAAAUGUGGACUCAUGUACUAUGCCAGCUGCUUGCGCCAAUGGCAAUUCUUUCAAAACAACUUGUGUAACCACCCUCAGCAUCCUUUUCAAAACCCCUACUCCCCUUCCUCUCCCGAGAGCACAGUUUGGUUUCUAGCUGAAUCUGUGUCUCCUGAUUGCCAAUUCCUGAGACCCCCAAACGUGCCUUGUCCUACUGCUUUGCAGUCUGGUCCUGUGCUUCUUCUCGGUUGACACGUGGCUUUCUCCCUGAACGAUUCAGGUCUCUGCUCAAUUUCACAUCAUUGAGGCCUUCCCUGAGUAUCCCACUUAUUACAGCAUCUGCCCCCUACUCCCAGGCUCCAUCCUCCAAUCUCACUGUUUUCUCUCUGGAGCACUUCACAGCACCUGAUAUGCUGUUUAUCUUUACUUACGUAUUUCACUUAAAGACACUUUCAUGUCCAUUAGCCAUUUCUGGGGAGGCAGAGAACUCUAUCUGUUGCCUGGGAUAACCCCAGUGCCUGGGAUAGGGCCUGGCUCUGAGUAGGUGCUCAUUAAAAUUUGCUGAAUGACUGAA
Long non-coding RNA from Callithrix jacchus (white-tufted-ear marmoset), 1346 nucleotides. RefSeq lists it as uncharacterized. Lineage: Eukaryota; Metazoa; Chordata; Mammalia; Primates; Cebidae. The record is from RefSeq and is a predicted model, not a curated record.